GACGAACGCUGGCGGCGUGCCUAAUACAUGCAAGUCGAACGCUUCUUUCCUCCCGAGUGCUUGCACUCAAUUGGAAAGAGGAGUGGCGGACGGGUGAGUAACACGUGGGUAACCUACCCAUCAGAGGGGGAUAACACUUGGAAACAGGUGCUAAUACCGCAUAACAGUUUAUGCCGCAUGGCAUAAGAGUGAAAGGCGCUUUCGGGUGUCGCUGACGGAUGGACCCGCGGUGCAUUAGCUAGUUGGUGAGGUAACGGCUCACCAAGGCCACGAUGCAUAGCCGACCUGAGAGGGUGAUCGGCCACACUGGGACUGAGACACGGCCCAGACUCCUACGGGAGGCAGCAGUAGGGAAUCUUCGGCAAUGGACGAAAGUCUGACCGAGCAACGCCGCGUGAGUGAAGAAGGUUUUCGGAUCGUAAAACUCUGUUGUUAGAGAAGAACAAGGACGUUA
RNAcentral lists this ribosomal RNA (454 nucleotides) under Enterococcus faecalis. Its description in RNAcentral is "bacterial SSU rRNA". It matches the Rfam family "Bacterial small subunit ribosomal RNA", at positions 28 to 460 of the family's 1533-position model. Lineage: Bacteria; Bacillati; Bacillota; Bacilli; Lactobacillales; Enterococcaceae. The record is from RNAcentral.